GUUAGGAGGAGAUUUUGAAAGAAAAAAAACCUGUAAGUUCUCGCCAGUUUCUUCAAUCCAGCAAAUGUGUGGACCCUGCGGGUUUUGACGUACGAGAGCUAUUCGAGAUGGUACAUGAGGAGUUCAUGGCAGGGAUAUCUCCUAACCAAGUUACCCUAAUUUUAUGGAGGUUCUGGAAUGCUUGAAAGGAUUGGACCUAAAGGUUGUGUGCGGAACAACAUAGCACGAAAGAAAUAAGAAUUUGGCGAAAGCUUUAAGCUGAGCAUAAGCUGUUUUAGAGAAUUCAGAUUAUCGAGAUCAGCAGGUUGUUCGUGGCAAGGAAAGACAAACAAGAGGUUGAAUGACUUAUCUUCAUAUGCAUGUGUCGUACUAGUUUGGAUGGUUUCUUAUGCUUCUUCAUAUGUAUUAGAUGCAUGUAUUUGACAUAUGUUUCAAGUUAUCAGAUGUAUGAACUUGUAUUGAUGUUUAUAUUCAUUCGGUCGAAAUUCUGUUGUAA
Long non-coding RNA from Medicago truncatula (barrel medic), 496 nucleotides. RefSeq lists it as uncharacterized. The transcript has 3 exons. Lineage: Eukaryota; Viridiplantae; Streptophyta; Magnoliopsida; Fabales; Fabaceae. The record is from RefSeq and is a predicted model, not a curated record.